This 222-nucleotide long non-coding RNA is filed under the name Strongylocentrotus purpuratus (purple sea urchin). RNAcentral describes it as "uncharacterized LOC115923309". The record is from RNAcentral. Lineage: Eukaryota; Metazoa; Echinodermata; Echinoidea; Camarodonta; Strongylocentrotidae.
CUCGUUUUGAGGGAUAGAGCGUCUUCCCAAAAGUAUGAUGUCGCGUAUGCAGUCGACCAACUUUUUAUCGGAUUUGGGAUGUUUGUUGGUGGCUAUUUAAGUGGCAUGAUUGCGGAUCACUUCUCAUCCUACAACGCAACGUUUAAACUAUUAGCUUUCAUCGACGUCAUCGUUCUCCUCCUCAUGGUGGUCGUGAGAUGCAGACCAAAAGCAAACCCCGUC